UGAGUACGAGACGCUAAGGCGUCGAAGUGGUGUAUAUCAGACUUCCAAGAAAAGCUUGCACUGUCAUAAAUAAAGAAUGCCUGUACCAUAACCGACACAGGUGGGUAGGUAGAGUAUACUAAGGGGCGCGAGAUAACUCUCUCUAAGGAACUCGGCAAAAUAACUCCGUAACUUCGGGAGAAGGAGUGCCUUAUUUAUAAGGCUGCAAUAACAAGAUCCAAGCAACUGUUUAUCAAAAACACAGGUCUCCGCUAAGUCGUAAGACGAUGUAUGGGGGCUGACGCCUGCCCAGUGCCAGAAGGUUAAAGAAGUUGGUUAGCAUUAGCGAAGCUGAUAACUGAAGCCCUGGUGAACGGCGGCCGUAACAAUAACGGUCCUAAGGUAGCGAAAUUCCUUGUCGGGUAAGUUCCGACCCGCACGAAAGGCGUAAUGAUUUGGAUACUGUCUCGGAGAGGGGCUCGGUGAAAUAGACUUGUCUGUGAAGAUGCGGACUACCUGCACCAGGACAGAAAGACCCUAUGAAGCUUUACUGUAACCUGAAAUUGAAAUUGGACUUUAGUCGCGCAGCAUAGGUGGGAGGCUUUGAUGAUACUCUUGCGGGAGUAUCGGAGCUAUCAGUGAGAUACCACUCUUCUAAUGUUAGAUUUCUAACUUUGAAUCAUUAUCUGGUCAAAGAACAGUUUCAGGCGGGCAGUUUGACUGGGGCGGUCGCCUCCUAAAUGGUAACGGAGGCGUACAAAGGUUUCCUCUGAACGGGUAGAAAUCGUAUCUAGAGUGUAAAGGCAUAAGGAAGCUUGACUGUGAGACCUACAAGUCGAACAGGGACGAAAGUCGGUCUUAGUGAUCUGACGGUACUGAGUGGAAAGGCCGUCACUCAACGGAUAAAAGUUACUCUAGGAUAACAGGCUGAUCCCCCCCAAGAGUUCACAUCGACGGGGAGGUUUGGCACCUCGAUGUCGGCUCAUCGCAUCCUGGGGCGGUAGUACGUCCCAAGGGUUGGGCUGUUCGCCCAUGAAAGCGGUACGCGAGCUGGGUUCAGAACGUCGUGAGACAGUUCGGUCCAUAUCCGGUGUAGGCGUUAGAAUAUUGAGAGGAGCCUUCUCUAGUACGAGAGGACCGAGAAGGACAUACCUAUGGUGUACCAGUUAUCGUGCCAACGGUAAACGCUGGGUAGCUAAGUAUGGAGUGGAUAACCGCUGAAAGCAUCUAAGUGGGAAGCCCACCUCGAGAUGAG
RNAcentral lists this ribosomal RNA (1234 nucleotides) under metagenome. Its description in RNAcentral is "bacterial LSU rRNA". It matches the Rfam family "Bacterial large subunit ribosomal RNA", at positions 1564 to 2808 of the family's 2925-position model. The record is from RNAcentral.